This 46-nucleotide non-coding RNA is filed under the name Trichobilharzia regenti. Lineage: Eukaryota; Metazoa; Platyhelminthes; Trematoda; Strigeidida; Schistosomatidae. The record is from RNAcentral.
GUACUGAUGAAGAGUCCCAAACUGGGCUGAAACAGCUGUCCAGUAC